AAAAGGUUGCUCAGCAUCUAUCAAGGCUAUCAUAAGGUUCUGGUAUGAAGAUGGCUUCAUAGCAUCAUCCCUCCUCCUGAUGGCUGGAUUCCCUCCUCCAUUUUUUUUUUUUUUGGAAUAGUUUAAGUAGAAUUGAUACCAGCUUUUCUGUUAAAAUUUGGUUGUGAAUCCAUCUGGUCCAGGUUAGUUGGAGAAACCGCGGCUACUGUAGCCUUCCUCCUGCCCCAGACCUGCAACAGGGAAGAGCACGUUCAGGACCUAUUGCUGGGGCACCUUCCACACUUGUCACACAAUUCUGGCU
Molecule: long non-coding RNA, 301 nt
Filed under: Homo sapiens (human)
Lineage: Eukaryota; Metazoa; Chordata; Mammalia; Primates; Hominidae
Description: HSALNT0336643
Source: RNAcentral